GCACGUUCAGCUCCUGGGCAGGCAGCCAAGGGCUGGAGCAGACACCCAGCCACAUGGCUCUGAGCGCUUUUCCAAAGACGGUGGUGGGACCUUCUCCCUGCCCGGCGGGCACACACCUGGCAGACUGCUCAGACAUGACUAAAGCACAGACAGAAGGAGCUGGAGAGAGCACUGAGGCUCUCUGGGCCACACAGAAAGGACAGCGAAAUCUCCGCGGAUCACCCGGGUUGUUUCAUGAGGUUGGAGAAACUUUUUCAAGGCAUAAAAAGAAUUCCCACUAGGUGGCAGCAAAUAUUUAAAUAAGGAAGAUGCUGG
Long non-coding RNA from Nycticebus coucang (slow loris), 315 nucleotides. RefSeq lists it as uncharacterized. The record is from RefSeq and is a predicted model, not a curated record. The transcript is spliced from 3 exons. NCBI's taxonomy places the organism in Eukaryota, Metazoa, Chordata, Mammalia, Primates, Lorisidae.